CAGCCGCCGCGGUAAUACGAAGGGUGCAAGCGUUAAUCGGAAUUACUGGGCGUAAAGCGUGCGUAGGCGGUGAGUUAAGUCUGCUGUGAAAUCCCCGGGCUCAACCUGGGAAUGGCAGUGGAUACUGGCUCGCUAGAGUGUGUCAGAGGAUGGUGGAAUUCCCGGUGUAGCGGUGAAAUGCGUAGAGAUCGGGAGGAACAUCAGUGGCGAAGGCGGCCAUCUGGGACAACACUGACGCUGAGGCACGAAAGCGUGGGGAGCAAACAGGAUUAGAUACCCCAGUAGUCCCUGUCUCUUAUAU
Molecule: ribosomal RNA, 301 nt
Filed under: uncultured bacterium
Lineage: Bacteria
Description: partial 16S ribosomal RNA
Rfam family: Bacterial small subunit ribosomal RNA
Source: RNAcentral